UUCGGGUUAAGUCCCGUUAACGAGCGCAACCCUUGUCCUUAGUUACCAGCACGUUAUGGUGGGCACUCUAAGGAGACUGCCGGUGACAAACCGGAGGAAGGUGGGGAUGACGUCAAGUCAUCAUGGCCCUUACGGCCUGGGCUACACACGUGCUACAAUGGUCGGUACAAAGGGUUGCCAAGCCGCGAGGUGGAGCUAAUCCCAAUAAAACCGAUCGUAGUCCGGAUCGCAGUCUGCAACUCGACUGCGUGAAGUCGGAAUCGCUAGUAAUCGUGAAUCAGAAUGUCACGGUGAAUACGUUCCCGGGCCUU
This 311-nucleotide ribosomal RNA is filed under the name uncultured Pseudomonas sp. RNAcentral describes it as "bacterial SSU rRNA". It matches the Rfam family "Bacterial small subunit ribosomal RNA", at positions 1074 to 1382 of the family's 1533-position model. Lineage: Bacteria; Pseudomonadati; Pseudomonadota; Gammaproteobacteria; Pseudomonadales; Pseudomonadaceae. The record is from RNAcentral.